GACGAACGCUGGCGGCGUGCUUAACACAUGCAAGUCGAGCGGUAAGGCCCUUCGGGGUACACGAGCGGCGAACGGGUGAGUAACACGUGGGUGACCUGCCUCUAGCUCUGGGAUAAGCCUGGGAAACUGGGUCUAAUACCGGAUAUGACUCCACGGCGCAUGUUGUGGGGUGGAAAGCCUUGUGUGGCUAGAGAUGGGCCCGCGGCCUAUCAGCUUGUUGGUGGGGUGAUGGCCUACCAAGGCGACGACGGGUAGCCGGCCUGAGAGGCGACCGGCCACACUGGGACUGAGACACGGCCCAGACUCUACGGGAGGCAGCAGUGGGGAAUCUUGCGCAAUGGGCGAAAGCCUGACGCAGCGACGCCGCGUGAGGGAUGACGGCC
Molecule: ribosomal RNA, 383 nt
Filed under: uncultured bacterium
Lineage: Bacteria
Description: bacterial SSU rRNA
Rfam family: Bacterial small subunit ribosomal RNA
Source: RNAcentral